GGUUUCAAGCUGCGUGCUGAGGUCAAGACUGGAGUUCCUCAGGGUCUGAAGAUAAUAUUUAGCUUUUUCUUUAUGCUGUGUUUAUGGAUUAAAUACUUAUGCUUGCUUUGGCUGCUUCCAAAUGACUUCAAGAGGACAGGGCUUGUGAAGUUUCUUUGUAGCCUGAAGAUGGAAGAUCUUACCAGAUGAGGAAAGGCAAUUGCAGCUCAACUGUGAUGAAAGAAUAACACUGACCCUGGAACUGCUGAGAGAGGUAUUGAAUGUGUAGGAUGAAACAGCAAGAAGUCAAAAGCUGCAACAGUCAAGGCUCAGCCUUCAUGGUUCAAGAGGAAAUCACAAGUCAACUCGCUAAACAUAAUCAAUCUAAAGCCCAGAAAACAAGAAAGAUUGAGAAGAGAAUUGAAAGAAGAAAAUCAUUGAAAAGAGAAGUAUUGAAAAGAGGAGAGCUUGUUGAAGUUGGAACUGAAGAAGACAAGAGCUAUUUGUCAGAGUGAGGAUGAGACAAAAAGAGACCAGUGGUCUAAAUGCAGCCCUAGGAAUUACAAUAAUUUAAGAGAAAUGAGGCAAUAAAGACAAAUUCAAAAGGAGGUAGUUCCACAUCCAUAGAAAGACUAAAUCUCAGAUACCAACAGUAUUCAAGAGGUGAUACCUCAGAUGAACAAGGAUGGAAGUUGAUGCAAAGGUUUGGGACUCUGCACAGGAUCUUUCAGUUGCAAUUCGAGAAGUCUGGAUGGUUCAAAAAAGAGGAAGAAGAUAUCAAGAACAAAAAAAAAGUUGCAACACUGAAAUCAUACUAAACCAAUGGGCAGGAAAAAUCAACUAUGAUAGAGAGAGAGAAGCAUUCAAAUUUUUUUUUUUUUUAUUCCA
Molecule: long non-coding RNA, 867 nt
Organism: Hirundo rustica (Barn swallow)
Lineage: Eukaryota; Metazoa; Chordata; Aves; Passeriformes; Hirundinidae
Exons: 5
Source: RefSeq, a predicted model, not a curated record